GCAAGUCGAACGGUAACAGAUAGAGCUUGCUCUAUGCUGACGAGUGGCGCACGGGUGAGUAAUAUAUAGUUAAUGUGCCCCAAAGACUAGGAUAGCCACUGGAAACGGUGAUUAAUACUGGAUAAGCCUCUAAAUCAUAAGAUUGCGAGGAAAACGUUUUUUCGCUUUGGGAUCAGACUAUAUCCUAUCAGCUAGUUGGUGAGGUAAGAGCUCACCAAGGCAAUGACGGGUAGCGGGUUUGAGAGGAUGAUC
This 252-nucleotide ribosomal RNA is filed under the name uncultured bacterium. RNAcentral describes it as "partial 16S ribosomal RNA". It matches the Rfam family "Bacterial small subunit ribosomal RNA", at positions 57 to 305 of the family's 1533-position model. The record is from RNAcentral.